GCUUCCUUGUCGUGUGGCCUCAGUCCUUCGCCGUCCCUCGCCGUCCUUCGCCAUCGCACGCCACCGCACCCCAUCUCUCGAAAUCUGCAGACAUCUUGAUUUUUCCCACGCUGUCUGUCAGGUCUCCGCCGCCACUCGACGCCAGGGCGCCGGGCCUUGUGGGCUGUGCUGCACCUCGGACGGCUUCGCACCAGCCAGCGCCCUCUCUCUCCUGCAGCACUCUGAUCUGCACCCCCUGAGGGGCUUCCACUGUCCGCGGGGUGAGAAUGCCCCUGGGAGUGUCACAUGACUGCCGCCCCAUGUGUGUGAGAGGCGUCCUCUGGGAGAGCAUGGAUCCUGAGGUCCCAGGAACAUCCCGAGAGCCAAGUUCCCAGAUGCCAGCCAAGGGCCAUCUGACCUGUUUUGAAUCUCAAUUUCCUGAUACAGAAAACAAAGGAUUGUCAGCUGACCUCUGUCCUGUGUGCCCAGUGGCCCCAGGUGACGUGUCUUCAAGAAGAGGCUGAGCUGCGGUGCUUGUAAGGGUCUCAUUCUGUCACCCAGGCUGGAGUGCAGUGGUGCAAUGAUGGCUCACUGCAGCCUCGACCUGGGCUCAAGUGAUCCUCCACCUCAGCUUCCUGAGUAGCUGGGACCACAGGUCUCAGCCUUAGAUCCAAGGACAGUCCAAGGAAGUCCUAAGACCAUGGAGUUGGUGAUCUGGGAUCUGGGUUUGCUGAUAUUUCUCACCGUGAAUCUCUUGGUGGUGUUUGUGGGCACGAGAGGGGCAGAGAAUGGAGAGUGAGGCUACCACAUGAAGCGUCACCAGAGCUGCUCCCUGCUGCCUGCUCAGAGCACCCCGGAUCCACUGUUCAAUCUGCACAAGAUUCGGGGUCCAGACAUGGGAGACUUCAGCUGCCUCAGAGGACCGUGGACAGGGAAGGCCAGCCUCGCAUCCCUCUGUCCAUGCCUGGAAUGACUUUAAUAACCAAGAGUUUUAUUUUUGAAUUUGUAGCUGUCGUUCACUUUUUACCCACCCAUUCAAUAAACCUUACAGAAUU
RNAcentral lists this long non-coding RNA (1034 nucleotides) under Homo sapiens (human). Lineage: Eukaryota; Metazoa; Chordata; Mammalia; Primates; Hominidae. The record is from RNAcentral.